AUUGAACGCUGGCGGCAGGCUUAACGCAUGCAAGUCGAGCGGGGUGAUGGUGCUUGCACUAUCACUUAGCGGCGGACGGGUGAGUAAUGCUUAGGAAUCUGCCUAUUAGUGGGGGACAACAUCUCGAAAGGGAUGCUAAUACCGCAUACGUCCUACGGGAGAAAGCAGGGGAUCACUUGUGACCUUGCGCUAAUAGAUGGGCCUAAGUCGGAUUAGCUAGUUGGUGGGGUAAAGGCCUACCAAGGCGACGAUCUGUAGCGGGUCUGAGAGGAUGAUCCGCCACACUGGGACUGAGACACGGCCCAGACUCCUACGGGAGGCAGCAGUGGGGAAUAUUGGACAAUGGGGGGAACCCUGAUCCAGCCAUGCCGCGUGUGUGAAGAAGGCCUUAUGGUUGUAAAGCACUUUAAGCGAGGAGGAGGCUCUUUUGGUUAAUACCCAAGAUGAGUGGACGUUACUCGCAGAAUAAGCACCGGCUAACUCUGUGCCAGCCGCCGCGGUAA
This 503-nucleotide ribosomal RNA is filed under the name uncultured bacterium. RNAcentral describes it as "partial 16S ribosomal RNA". It matches the Rfam family "Bacterial small subunit ribosomal RNA", at positions 30 to 523 of the family's 1533-position model. The record is from RNAcentral.